UAAUACAGAGACUGCAAGCGUUAUUCGGAUUCACUGGGCGUAAAGGGUGCGCAGGCGGCCGUGUGUGUAAGGUGUGAAAUCCCGGGGCUCAACCCCGGAACUGCGCCUUAAACUACAUGGCUAGAGUAUUGGAGAGGGUAGUGGAAUUCACGGUGUAGCAGUGAAAUGCGUAGAUAUCGUGAGGAACACCAGAGGCGAAGGCGACUACCUGGACAAUUACUGACGCUCAGGCACGAAAGCGUGGGGAGCAAAAGGGAUUAGAUACCCCUGUAGUCCACGCCCUAAACGGUGCACACUAGGUCUUGGCGGAUUCGACCCCACCAGGGCCCAAGCUAACGCGUUAAGUGUGCCGCCUGAGGACUACGGUCGCAAGACUAAAACUCAAAUGAAUUGACGG
Molecule: ribosomal RNA, 397 nt
Filed under: uncultured bacterium
Lineage: Bacteria
Description: bacterial SSU rRNA
Rfam family: Bacterial small subunit ribosomal RNA
Source: RNAcentral